RNAcentral lists this ribosomal RNA (406 nucleotides) under uncultured bacterium. Its description in RNAcentral is "partial 16S ribosomal RNA". It matches the Rfam family "Bacterial small subunit ribosomal RNA", at positions 30 to 526 of the family's 1533-position model. The record is from RNAcentral.
AUUGAACGCUGGCGGCAGGCCUAACACAUGCAAGUCGAGCGAGCGGCGGACGGGUGAGUAAUGUCUGGGAACCUGCCUGAUGGAGGGGGAUAACUACUGGAAACGGUAGCUAAUACCGCAUACCAUCAGAUGUGCCCAGAUGGGAUUAGCUAGUGGGUGGGGUAAUGGCUCACCUAGGCGGCGAUCCCUAGCUGGGCUGAGAGGAUGACCAGCAAAACUGGAACUGAGACACGGUCCAGACUCCUACGGGAGGCAGCAGUGGGGAAUAUUGCACAAUGGGCGAAAGCCUGAUGCAGCCAUGCCGCGUGUGUGAAGAAGGCCUUCGGGUUGUAAAGCACUUUUAGCGGGGAGGCGUUACUCGCAGAAGAAGCACCGGCUAACUCCGUGCCAGCAGCCGCGGUAAUUC